AUUGAACGCUGGCGGCAUGCCUUACACAUGCAAGUCGAACGGCAGCACGGGAGCAAUCCUGGUGGCGAGUGGCGAACGGGUGAGUAAAGUAUCGGAACGUGCCCAGUCGUGGGGGAUAACGUAGCGAAAGUUACGCUAAUACCGCAUACGAUCUAUGGAUGAAAGCGGGGGAUCGCAAGACCUCGCGCGAUUGGAGCGGCCGAUAUCAGAUUAGGUAGUUGGUGGGGUAAAGGCUAACCAAGCCGACGAUCUGUAGCUGGUCUGAGAGGACGACCAGACACACGGGGACUGAGACACGGCCCAGACUCCUACGGGAGGCAGCAGUGGGGAAUUUUGGACAAUGGGCGAAAGCCUGAUCCAGCCAUGCCGCGUGCAGGAUGAAGGCCUUCGGGUUGUAAACUGCUUUUGUACGGAACGAAAAGGUUUGGCCUAAUAAGCUGAGCUCAUGACGGUACCGUAAGAAUAAGCACCGGCUAACUACGUGCCAGCCGCCGCGGUAA
This 500-nucleotide ribosomal RNA is filed under the name uncultured bacterium. RNAcentral's name for it is "partial 16S ribosomal RNA". It matches the Rfam family "Bacterial small subunit ribosomal RNA", at positions 30 to 523 of the family's 1533-position model. The record is from RNAcentral.